AGAGUUUGAUCCUGGCUCAGAGCGAACGCUGGCGGCAGGCCUAACACAUGCAAGUCGAACGGAUCCUUCGGGAUUAGUGGCGGACGGGUGAGUAACACGUGGGAACGUGCCCUUUGGUUCGGAACAACUCAGGGAAACUUGAGCUAAUACCGGAUGUGCCCUUCGGGGGAAAGAUUUAUCGCCAUUGGAGCGGCCCGCGUCUGAUUAGCUAGUUGGUGGGGUAAAGGCCCACCAAGGCGACGAUCAGUAGCUGGUCUGAGAGGAUGAUCAGCCACAUUGGGACUGAGACACGGCCCAAACUCCUACGGGAGGCAGCAGUGGGGAAUCUUGCGCAAUGGGCGAAAGCCUGACGCAGCCAUGCCGCGUGAAUGAUGAAGGUCUUAGGAUUGUAAAAUUCUUUCACCGGGGACGAUAAUGACGGUACCCGGAGAAGAAGCCCCGGCUAACUUCGUGCCAGCAGCCGCGGUAAUACGAAGGGGGCUAGCGUUGCUCGGAAUUACUGGGCGUAAAGGGAGCGUAGGCGGACUGUUUAGUCAGAGGUGAAAGCCCAGGGCUCAACCUUGGAAUUGCCUUUGAUACUGGCAGUCUUGAGUACGGAAGAGGUAUGUGGAACUCCGAGUGUAGAGGUGAAAUUCGUAGAUAUUCGGAAGAACACCAGUGGCGAAGGCGAUAUACUGGUCCGUUACUGACGCUGAGGCUCGAAAGCGUGGGGAGCAAACAGGAUUAGAUACCCUGGUAGUCCACGCCGUAAACGAUGAGUGCUAGUUGUCGGCAUGCAUGCAUGUCGGUGACGCAGCUAACGCAUUAAGCACUCCGCCUGGGGAGUACGGUCGCAAGAUUAAAACUCAAAGGAAUUGACGG
RNAcentral lists this ribosomal RNA (861 nucleotides) under uncultured Caulobacter sp. Its description in RNAcentral is "bacterial SSU rRNA". It matches the Rfam family "Bacterial small subunit ribosomal RNA", at positions 8 to 916 of the family's 1533-position model. The record is from RNAcentral. Lineage: Bacteria; Pseudomonadati; Pseudomonadota; Alphaproteobacteria; Caulobacterales; Caulobacteraceae.